CCAGGCUAGCUCGGCGGUACAGCCACACCGAAUCUGCGCAGAGCGAGGGAGAGGUCGAGAUCUUGCGAUGGAAUUAGAGAGCGAGGGAGAGAGAGAGAGAGAAGGGGAGCGAGGGAGGGAUCUGGACCGAAGGGGUGUGGAUCGGGCCGGAGUAGAGCCGCAUGGUACGGAUAUGGCCGGUCACAAAGUACCGUUCAGCAUCGAGAUUCGAGCUGGGCGACGAUGCAGCCUGAGUUAUUUAAACCGGCCCCGCUGGCAAACUAGGACAUUCCAUCCGAGCUCCUCCUGGACUCGCCGAGGGGUCCCUCUCUCUCUGCGGGUUUCGUCUCUGCUCGUCUCUCUCCCGCCUCUCCUCUCCGAGCUCUCGAUGGACGCCUUGGAUUCGGUGGUCGAUCCCCUCCGGGGGUUCGCCAAGGACAGCGUCCGCCUCGUCAAGAGGUGCCACAAGCCCGAUCGCAAAGAGUUCACGAAGGUGGCCUUCCGCACGGCGAUUGGUUUCGUGGUAAUGGGGUUCGUGGGUUUCUUCGUGAAGCUGAUCUUUAUCCCGAUCAAUAACAUCAUCGUCGGGUCCGGCUAGGCCUGCCCAUCUUUUCUCCGGCAGCUGCUACCCUAAUCGGUGUAUCUCGGUUCUGCACCGUCCAAAUGGAUGAUGGCCGCUAAUUUUGGCACAUGAUCUGUUCUGGGUUUUGCUAUUGGUCCUGGAAAGUUUUUUUUUUUCAAUUUUGCCAUAAUUCGGAAAGGAAAAGAGACAGCCCAAUGCAGUCAGCAAGGAUUAGAAUGGAGAGCUCAGGAGGUAAAGUUGUCGUCCUAAAUAGCAUAGCGUAUCAUCAUGUGAAGCCCACGCUGGUUCCCCUUCCUGACAGUAUGAGACACCUUAAAGGAUCCUCAAUUCGAUGCUCAGCUGCCCUAGUAAUCUGAACUUGCUAACCGGCGGCCUUCCCAGUUUGCAGUCAAACAGGGAUUGAGGAUAAAUGCUUGCACCAGCACCUGCUACAAUUCUUUGCAGAGAGCUCUGCUGUCAAGAUUCCCCUCGACAACGCCGGUAGCUAGCUGGUAUCUGGCCUUCCGGAAAUACAAAAGCUGAUCUACAAUGCAAAUUUUUCUUGACAAAAAAGGAGGGUCUUCGAUUAAACCGAUGAUAUUAGAUAAUCACGUAAGUUUCAUUGACUGAUGAGUCCAUAUUAUACAACGACAAAGCUAAAUUCAGAAAUAUUACAAGCCCAUCAAUCUCAAAAAGAAAGUUAUACCAA
Phoenix dactylifera (date palm) is the source of this 1250-nucleotide non-coding RNA. Lineage: Eukaryota; Viridiplantae; Streptophyta; Magnoliopsida; Arecales; Arecaceae. The record is from RefSeq and is a predicted model, not a curated record.